GAGAAAAUUCACAACCAAUCAUGUGGAGACGCCUUUCAGAAGAUGAAGAUUCAGUUGAGCUGCCUUUAUUUGAUUUCCAUAGCAUAUUACUUGCAACCAACAACUUUGACAAAGAGAACAAACUCGGGCAAGGAGGCUAUGGUCCAGUUUUUAAGGGAACGCUACAAGAUGGAAAGGAUGUGGCGAUUAAAAGACUUUCUAGUAGC
This 206-nucleotide unclassified non-coding RNA is filed under the name Hevea brasiliensis (rubber tree). Lineage: Eukaryota; Viridiplantae; Streptophyta; Magnoliopsida; Malpighiales; Euphorbiaceae. The record is from RNAcentral.